Molecule: ribosomal RNA, 510 nt
Filed under: Veillonella sp. oral clone R15
Lineage: Bacteria; Bacillati; Bacillota; Negativicutes; Veillonellales; Veillonellaceae
Description: bacterial SSU rRNA
Rfam family: Bacterial small subunit ribosomal RNA
Source: RNAcentral
GACGAACGCUGGCGGCGUGCUUAACACAUGCAAGUCGAACGAAGAGCGAUGGAAGCUUGCUUCUAUCAAUCUUAGUGGCGAACGGGUGAGUAACGCGUAAUCAACCUGCCCUUCAGAGGGGGACAACAGUUGGAAACGACUGCUAAUACCGCAUACGAUCCAACCUCGGCAUCGAGGAUGGAUGAAAGGUGGCCUCUAUUUAUAAGCUAUCACUGAAGGAGGGGAUUGCGUCUGAUUAGCUAGUUGGAGGGGUAACGGCCCACCAAGGCAAUGAUCAGUAGCCGGUCUGAGAGGAUGAACGGCCACAUUGGGACUGAGACACGGCCCAGACUCCUACGGGAGGCAGCAGUGGGGAAUCUUCCGCAAUGGACGAAAGUCUGACGGAGCAACGCCGCGUGAGUGAUGACGGCCUUCGGGUUGUAAAGCUCUGUUAAUCGGGACGAAAGGUCCUCUUGCGAAUGUUAGAGGAAUUGACGGUACCGGAAUAGAAAGCCACGGCUAACUACGUGC